Molecule: non-coding RNA, 735 nt
Organism: Dermacentor albipictus
Lineage: Eukaryota; Metazoa; Arthropoda; Arachnida; Ixodida; Ixodidae
Source: RefSeq, a predicted model, not a curated record
GAAGAAGUGGCGCAGAGCAGGCGCUGACCGGCCGCCCGCGUGCUGUGUACUUCGUGGCUCAAUUCAUCUCGCGUCGGUUACGCAACGCACUAUUAUUCGUCGGAGAUCGAGAAUGCACCGAAGGUCGUUGCCAUUAAACCGUUACUAUGGGAAGGCCACGCGUGAUCCCUACACCUGAAGAGCAGCUUAUCUACGAGGAGCGACAGCGAGAGCAGCGGCGGGAGAGAGAUCGUCGACGUCGUGCCAAACCGACGGCCCGAGGAGAAGAGCGUGCCCGCGAUGUGGUACGUAAGCGACGAGCAAGAGCCGACGACGCCGAGAAUGCCGCAAAGAGACGUCCACGCCACGAGGGCACGGUGCCGGGAUUCGACGUCGCCUAUACGCAAGUUGUACAGAGCGCAGAAACAAAACUGUCGGAAGAAGCAUCAAGUUUUGCUACCGCAGGUUUGCUUGGCCACAGUCCCUCGUUCGACAACCUAGGUCGUGCUACCGGCUUGAGGAGGUAUGUGGAGCUUUGCACAGUACAAGCCUACACUGUCGGCAAUAUCAAAGCCUCUGUCGGCCAACACCACAUCACCAUGAGAUAAAUGGUCAAGAAUGCCGCAGUGUUCAGUAAUAUGUUUGUCAGGGGUCCUGCCUCCCCAACCAUCGGAAAUAAAGGUGAUAACUCCCUGAGGACAUAUUCCUAUCAGGUACUUGGCUGUAUUGCUAGAUUUGUAUUGGGACCAAGUCUGA